Molecule: long non-coding RNA, 2158 nt
Organism: Oryctolagus cuniculus (rabbit)
Lineage: Eukaryota; Metazoa; Chordata; Mammalia; Lagomorpha; Leporidae
Source: Ensembl
UCAAAAGUGCUUCUUGCCCCCAGACCUGUUAAGACCAGUUAAGCUGAUUAUUUAAAAAGAUUUAUUUUAUUUGUUUUAAUGGCAAAAUUAGAGAGAGAGAGAGAGAGAGUCUUCCAUAGGCUGGGUCACUCCAAAUGGCUGCGAUGGUUGGCACUCAGCCAGGCAGAAGCCAGGAGCCAGGAACUCCAUCCGGGUCUCCCACGUGGGUUGCAGGAGUCCAAGUGCUUGGGCCAUCUUCCACUGCGCGUUAGCAGGAAGCUGGAUCAUGCGUGGAGAAGCUGGAGACUCGAACAAGUGCGCCUAUGGAAUGUUGGCAUUGCAGGGGGUGGCUUACUUUACCAGCUAUGCCACAACACGGGCCCAAGCUGGUUUAUUUCGUUGUUUUGUUUGUUUGUUUUGGUAAAUGAUAUUCACCCAUGGAAUAGAGUAAUCGCAGGCAAGUUGAAUUCCUGGAGAGUGGAAGCUUGAAGGUGGUCAAAAGGGGGACGGGUAUUCUUGGAGGAGGGAACACAUUCUGCAAAGCGUCUUAGGCAGAACAAGACUUUCUUUGUGGCACUUAAGGAAUGCCAUGUGCUGUGGCUUCAGCUUCCUGUGGGAAAGCAGGAAGACGUGAGGCUGAAAUGGAGAGCGGAUCUGAGCAGGAGGAGGGUUACCUCCCUAAUACGCACCUGUUCUCCAGGAGUAGAAUCUCCCUUUGGAGUCUUUGGAGGAGACCUUCAUGAUGGUUAAUCCAAGGCGGCGCCUUGCUGACGUCAUGGUUAACCAGUUUCUGCUGGAGAAAGCACUUACAGGCAUGAGCCAAGUCAACAGAUUGUGCACAAUGCAAAAUACAGGAGGUCCUGUUCAUUGCACGUGGAGCUUCCUCCCUAGCAAGAACCACAGCUGCGGCUGGGGCUUCCUGCCCACAUUCCAGCAGACCUUGCCCUGCAGGGGCUGCGAUCCAGCUGACCGGAAGCACUCGGGUAUGAGCAACUUCCGGCUCAGCCCCCAGCUGAUGAUGAGGGGGAGUUACUGCAGAACACUCCCUGGUCCCCCUCGCAUAGGGGCUUCACCCCGAGGUAGCUGCUUCCUAGAGAUGUCUCAGAAACAUUGCGCCUUAGAUGCCGAUGAGAAGGAAGCCUCCUCUGGACGGAGGCCACAGCAGACCCAGAGAGUCCUCUCAGAAGCCUCAUGAAUUUCCCCAGGACAGAGACUUAAAUGACGAGAGGUUGGUUGAGUACAAGUCUCAGACCCUCUCACUCACUGCAAUAUGGUCCAGGAGGCGGCAGGUGAGAGGCGUCUUACAGGGGAUGCAAGUCACUCAUGCGUGGAUCCUGAAACUCUUCUCUAAAUCCUAUUUUGACGCUAUUUAGUUUCUGAGAGAGAGAGAGGAGAGAGGAGAGAGGAGAGAGAGGAGAGAGGAGAGAGAGGAGAGAGGAGAGAGGAGAGAGGAGAGAGGAGAGAGGAAGUGAGCGAGUGCUCUCGGAAGCCAGGAACUGAGAACUCCAUCCAAGCCUUUUACAUGGAUUUUGGAAACCCAGUCAUUAGAGCUUUCCCUGCUGCCUCCCAGGGUCUGCAUCAGCAGGAAGCUGGAGUUCGGAGCUGGAGCUGAGCAUUGAACCUAGACACUCUGAUACGGGGCACAGGUAUCUUAAUCGGUGUCUUAAUUGCGAGACUAAAUGCUCACUCAAAUUCCUUAACUUUUUCUGCCUUGUGGAACACUGAUUCAAAUGGCAGUGGUGGAGCACUUGGAAGGAGCCCGCCCAGACACAUGCAAGGAUGUGUCAGUACACUUCAGGAGACAGGAAGAAGUCUCCCUCUGCUUGGGUUUCUUGUCUUGAAAAAGAUACAUGGGGGCCAGCGCUGUAGCCUAGCGGCUAAAGCCACCACCUGCAGUGCCGGCAUCCCAUAUGGGUGCCAGUCUGAAUCCUGGCUGCUCCACUUCCAAUCCAGCUCUCUGCUAUGGCCUGGGAAAGCAGUGGAAGACGGCCCAAGUGCUUGGGUCCUUGCACCAGUGUGAGAGACCCGGAAGAAGCUCCUGGCUCCUGGCUCCGGCUGUUGCAGCCAUUUCGGGAGUGAACCAGUGGAUGGAAGACCCCUCUCUCUCUCUGCCUCUCCUCUCUCUGUGUAACUUUACCUUUCCAAUAAAUAAAUAAAUCUUUAAAAAAAAGAAGAAGAA